GUGGGAGCGAGCCUGCUCGCGAUGACAGUGUGUCAGUCACCAUCAAUAUCAACUGACCCACCGCUAUCGCGAGCAGGCUCGCUCCCAC
Molecule: unclassified non-coding RNA, 88 nt
Filed under: Pseudomonas mediterranea
Lineage: Bacteria; Pseudomonadati; Pseudomonadota; Gammaproteobacteria; Pseudomonadales; Pseudomonadaceae
Source: RNAcentral